Molecule: long non-coding RNA, 217 nt
Filed under: Elaeis guineensis (African oil palm)
Lineage: Eukaryota; Viridiplantae; Streptophyta; Magnoliopsida; Arecales; Arecaceae
Description: long non-coding RNA (EGUI_LNC037918)
Source: RNAcentral
UACUAAUACCACUGUAGUAUCGAGUAUGUCAUUGAUAAGUAAAUAGACAUCCAUGUGACUACUCAUGUUGGUCACGCUCGGUAUUAUUGUUCUCUAACAAUCACCUGUACUCUCACUUCAAUAUCCCCACUCUAUAGAUUCAAGACUCAUUUAUUCAGAGAAAAGUGAUCAGUGCAUCAAUCUAUCUGGAUCAAUCACCAUCCUCAUGAUGAUCCAU